Molecule: ribosomal RNA, 253 nt
Filed under: uncultured bacterium
Lineage: Bacteria
Description: partial 16S ribosomal RNA
Rfam family: Bacterial small subunit ribosomal RNA
Source: RNAcentral
UACAGAGGGUGCGAGCGUUGUUCGGAAUUAUUGGGCGUAAAGGGCGCGUAGACGGCGCGACAAGUCACCUGUGAAACCUCUGGGCUUAACCCAGAGCCUGCAGGCGAAACUGUCGUGCUGGAGUAUGGGAGAGGUGCGUGGAAUUCCCGGUGUAGCGGUGAAAUGCGCAGAUAUCGGGAAGAACACCCGUGGCGAAGGCGGCUCUCUGGGACGGUACUGACGCUGAGACGCGAAAGCGUGGGGAGCGAACAGG